Molecule: long non-coding RNA, 1077 nt
Filed under: Marmota monax (woodchuck)
Lineage: Eukaryota; Metazoa; Chordata; Mammalia; Rodentia; Sciuridae
Source: RNAcentral
GACGGUCUGUGCACGCUGGCCCCGGCAGGUGCUGCCCUGGAGGUGAGGGGUGCUGCUGACCUGGGCUUGGCUCCCUCGGGGUCCACUGGAGAUGCAGCCCCCUGCUGCCUUCUGGUUGCAGGUGGCUGUGGGUUCGACACUGGAUGCCACUGUUUGCCGCCUGGGAUGGACAGGCUGGGUGGCAGGGUUUCAAGGAAGGACCACAGGAAGAAGUUGGCAGUGCCACGGCUACUCAGCCUCCCAGGGGGCAUGUGCGGGACUCUAGGCCACCUCGUCUGCCAUUGCUCCAGAUGACCUGUAAUACACCUGGGCAUUCGAGGCCACCUUGGGUGUGCAGGGCCAGCAGGCCCUCUAGGAGUGGGGCUGUCCCUUGCCUUGUCCCUGGAGGGCCCAGGAAACUGGACCGCUGUGUGUUUGCUGCGGCAGCGAUUCCACCCAGGCAGCUCCAGGGCUUCUCUGCUGACGCCUGGACUCAGACCUGGACUGACGCCCCCAGCAUGUCACAGACAGACUGACUCGACGGGGGCUGGGGGAGGCGCCAGGCAGGGGCCCAGGGCCAGGGCAGACUUCUGAGGAGUGGGCAAGAGCGCAGCGUGGCAGGCCUUUGCCUCGCAGCACAGUGCUCUACCCCUGAGCCCCAGCCCCAGCCCCGGGUUUCUUUUAAGGGAGGAGCGAGGUUGCCCUCCCUGAUCAGCUCAGCUGCCCUGGCCAGGGUCGGGGGAGGGGAGGAAGGGACGGAGCCCAGAGGAAGGUGUCCCCACUGAGGUCCCUGCCUCCCUCAGCUGGCUUGGGAUGCCCGGGAGGAGCCUGAGGCCCAUGGCUGGUGCAGGGCCAACCCUGUGCCCAGUGCUCUCCCUGUCCCCCGCCUCCCGGCAGGUUCUUGCAGUCACAUGUGCCUGAGCGUCAGGCUGGCAGGGCCAUGAUGUCCUCUGAGAAGGGAGGGGCCCGUCCGGGUCCUGGGUUGCCAACAUCAGAAUCCUCUCUGGCACAUUCAGCUGGAAAAGGAGUUUGAAAGGAUGGCAAGGAGUGUGCAGCCUUAUUAGGAACCAGAGAAACAGAUGGAAGCUUCCAAGAGCC